Molecule: ribosomal RNA, 744 nt
Filed under: Chytridiomycota sp. LLSB3_1 PML-2011m
Lineage: Eukaryota; Fungi; Chytridiomycota
Also listed under: 1 other name
Description: eukaryotic LSU rRNA
Rfam family: Eukaryotic large subunit ribosomal RNA
Source: RNAcentral
GCUCAAAUUUGAAAUCUCCUUCGGGCGAAUUGUAGUUUAGAGAAGCGUUUUCUGAUGAGCGGCUGGUACAAGUUCCUUGGAACAGGACAUCACAGAGGGUGACAAUCCCGUCUCUGACCAGUUGCGAGUCUUUCGAGGCGUUUUCAAAGAGUCGGUUUGUUUGGGAAUGCAGACCAAAAUGGGAGGUAAAUACCUUCUAAAGCUAAAUAUUGGCGAGAGACCGAUAGCGAACAAGUACCGUGAGGGAAAGAUGAAAAGAACUUUGAAAAGAGAGUUAAACAGUACGUGAAAUUGUCAAAAGGGAAACGUUUGAAACCAGUAUUUCUUUUGUUUGUUCACCUUUCUGUCUCAGAGGGGGUACUCAAGCUAAAGAGAGUCAACAUCAGUUUCUUUGGGAGGAAAAUGUUUGCAGGAGGUAGCUCUUCUCGGAGAGUGUUAUAACUGUAAAAGAUACUUCUGGAGAGACUGAGGUCUGCAGUGUUCUUACCCCACGGGGAUACCAACACUUGGGAUGUUGACGAAAUGGUUUCCAGCGACCCGUCUUGAAACACGGACCAAGGAGUCUAACAUAUGUGCGAGUAUUUGGGUGGCAAACCCUUUUGCGCAAUGAAAGUGAAAAGGUGGGACCUCUUCUAAGAGAGUGCACCAUCGACCGCGCCUUAUCCCGUAUAAAGCGUGAGUAUGAGCACAUAUGCUGGGACCCGAAAGAUGGUGAACUAUGCCUGAAUAGGGUGAAGCCAGAGG